UACGUAGGGGGCAAGCGUUGUCCGGAUUUAUUGGGCGUAAAGAGCGUGUAGGCGGCCAGACAGGUCCGUUGUGAAAACUCGAGGCUCAACCUCGAGAUGUCGGUGGAAACCGUCUGGCUAGAGUCCGGAAGAGGAGUGUGGAAUUCCUGGUGUAGCGGUGAAAUGCGCAGAUAUCAGGAGGAACACCAAUGGCGAAGGCAGCUCGCUGGGACGUGACUGACGCUGAGACGCGAAAGCGUGGGGAGCAAACAGG
This 253-nucleotide ribosomal RNA is filed under the name uncultured bacterium. RNAcentral's name for it is "partial 16S ribosomal RNA". It matches the Rfam family "Bacterial small subunit ribosomal RNA", at positions 524 to 776 of the family's 1533-position model. The record is from RNAcentral.